ACUACCCACUUAGAAAUUGAAACCGGAGUAGAAGAGAGGCGAAAAUUCUGAAAUUAGGGCGGCAAAAAACAAAGCGGGAUUCCGACUGAUUUUCACGUUGCUUGUUUCAUCGACGAUUCCGACAUUGAACGUGAUUGCUCCUCCAGUCCAUCUUCUUCAUCUCCAAAACCGGGUACGGUAUGAAUUUUUGGUUGGAAUUUAGUUGUUUAAUUAGAGCUGAAAUUUUAGUCACCAAUUAUACGUAUAGAAUGUUAAGCAUUGCUGGGCAUGGAAAUUUCAGAAUUUUGGUUGGAAUUUUGUUGAAGGUUUAAGCUGUAAUUUUUAAUCACCGGUCACCAGUACCUAUAUCUUUCACGUCUCGGUCUCUCUUACAAAAUAUUCCAAAAUUUAUUUCCAGUAAUGCAUGAUUGUUCUCUAGCAUCACCCAUUUGUGCAUUAACAGGUGAGAAGGGUUCUAAAAGGUGGGGGAAAGUUUAUUUGUCUUACCUUAGCAGAUCAUGUAGGAGUGGUGAUUUUUCAUAGUUUAUAUAUGAUGAAUAUUUUUAUAUUUUUCUGUUCCCUAAUGUAUUCAUAAUUAUAAUUAACAUCAUUUGCAUAACAGCUAAUGCAGAGAGUUAAGUUUUGUUUUCAUUAUAUGAGAUUCUUGCAGAACUACAAUUUUCGGCAAAUGCUCAGCUCCAACAGUCUCUUUGUGCUUCCGACAUCAUCCCAUCUCUGGCAAUCGCUCAACUCCAGUACUAUUAGCGGCUAAAUAACGAAGAAGAGCUCUUGAUUUUUGUGAGUGUGAACGUGGCGGUUAGCUACGGAAAAUGGACGGACAUGGCAUGAUUAGUGGGUUAUGUUGAACUAGUUAUGUUAUGUUAAAUAGCGGCAAGGUCAAAAUCUUAAUUUGUUAUUUUAGUGUACUGCAAUGAAUUGGUAGAUUUUGGUUGAAAUGGAUGACUUACUUCAGGUACCUUGUCUUACUAGCACAUUGAACGCUUGGUUAAUUAUAAUAACAAGAGUUUGGAGUUUGUUAAAUGUGAUGGUUAUGUUUAGUUUAAACACAUCCAAAUUUAUUAAAAUUUAUGUGUUUCGAUUAUAGUUAGUCCAAACAUAGACUAGCAAAAACCGAGAAAUGUCAUACUGUUGAUAAAUAGAAAGACUAGUUUCAAAUUUGGGAUUAUGAUGGAGGUAAAACUUUCAACACCAUCAUGACACUCUUCUAGUGAGUGUUUAGAUCGUGAAUUCAGUGUGCAC
RNAcentral lists this long non-coding RNA (1239 nucleotides) under Olea europaea (common olive). Its description in RNAcentral is "long non-coding RNA (OEUR_LNC006860)". Lineage: Eukaryota; Viridiplantae; Streptophyta; Magnoliopsida; Lamiales; Oleaceae. The record is from RNAcentral.